RNAcentral lists this ribosomal RNA (499 nucleotides) under uncultured bacterium. RNAcentral describes it as "partial 16S ribosomal RNA". It matches the Rfam family "Bacterial small subunit ribosomal RNA", at positions 28 to 507 of the family's 1533-position model. The record is from RNAcentral.
GACGAACGCUGGCGGCGUGCCUAAUACAUGCAAGUCGAGCGGACCGAACAGGAGCUUGCUCUUGUUCGGUUAGCGGCGGACGGGUGAGUAACACGUGGGUAACCUGCCCGUAAGACCGGGAUAACUCCGGGAAACCGGAGCUAAUACCGGAUAACACCGAAGACCGCAUGGUCUUUGGUUGAAAGGCGGCUUCGGCUGCCACUUACGGAUGGGCCCGCGGCGCAUUAGCUAGUUGGUGAGGUAACGGCUCACCAAGGCGACGAUGCGUAGCCGGCCUGAGAGGGUGACCGGCCACACUGGGACUGAGACACGGCCCAGACUCCUACGGGAGGCAGCAGUAGGGAAUCUUCCGCAAGAGACGAAAGUCUGACGGAGCGACGCCGCGUGAGCGAAGAAGGGCUUCGGAUCGUAAAGCUCGGUUGUUAGGGAAGAAGAAGCGUCGUUCGAACAGGGCGGCGCGGUGACGGUACCUAACGAGAAAGCCCCGGCUAACUACGUG